This is a long non-coding RNA of Myotis brandtii (Brandt's bat), 868 nucleotides long. RefSeq lists it as uncharacterized. The transcript has 2 exons. NCBI's taxonomy places the organism in Eukaryota, Metazoa, Chordata, Mammalia, Chiroptera, Vespertilionidae. The record is from RefSeq and is a predicted model, not a curated record.
UGAUGAGAGAGAAUCAUUGAUCAGCUGCCUCCUGCACGUCCCCUGCUGGGGAUCAAACCCAAAACCCGAGCAUGUGGCCUAACCUAUUCUCAAACCAUGACCUCCUGGUUCAUAGGUCAACACUCAACCACUGAGCAACACCGACCAGGCAAAACAGAACUGGUCUUGCUGACUAAGAAAGUAUCAAUACAAGUUGCAAACUCACCUCCCUGAGUGCUUUCACUGGAGCCCUGGAGACACUCCCAAAUCUUCCCUUAUUUUAUGAGAUCACCACUUACCCACCUUCUGGAGAGGAUCUUUGUCUGCUUGUUUUCUGUACCUCUCUGGAUAGGUUUGGAGAGCUUCUGGGUUGGUGAACAUACGGAGGUGCUAGGAGAGUGAACAUAGAAGCUCCGUGUCCUUUCUUCAGACCUUUCCCUCUGCAUCUCUUCCACCUGGCUGUUCCUGAGUUAUAUCCUUGUAUAAUAAACUGGUAACCUAGUAAGUCCGUAAAAUGUUUCUGAGUUCUGUGAGCCACUCUAACAAAUUAAUGGGACCCUGGGAGGGGGUUGUUGGAACCUCCAAUCUGUAGCCAGUCAGUCAGAAGCACAGGUGACAACAUGGACUUGUGAUUGACAUAAGAAGUGUGUGUUUGGGGGGGGGGGGAUGGGGAUGAGGGUUGGAAAGGGAAGUCUUGUUGGACUGAGCCCUUAACUGGUGUGAUCUGAAGCUAUCCCAAGGUAGACAGUGUCAGAAUUGUAGGACACCCAGCUGGUGUUGGAGAAUUGCUUGGGGAUGUGAAAGAAAAUACAUAUGCAACUGGUAUCAGAAUGGUAGAACGUCAUUGAAAGUUGAUACAGAAGAAAAAGAUAGUAAAUAAAUAAAUAAA